UCUUGCUAACAGUCCCGAAGAAAAAGGAAUCUAAAUCUAUCAUUCCUCCUCAACCUCAGAGCAAUCUGGAUUCAAGUCCCCUCGGUCAUCAGAUUUCAUUUGUGUGUGAGGAACUUCCCAGAAAGAAAACUCUCUGGUUCUUCACUGCUUGGCCAUGACCUUGGUGUUCAUCUUGAUGCUUGGGGUGCUUCUGUUCCUGAGAGGAACUGGAGCCCAGUCACUGACCCAAACUGACGGCCACAUCACUGUCUCUGAAGGAGCCCGUCUGGAGCUGAGUUGUAACUAUUCCUCUAGUGGAACUACUUAUCUCUUCUGGUAUGUGCAGCACCCCAACCAAGGACUCCAGCUUCUCCUCAAGUACUUUUCAGGGCCAUCAGAUGCCCUAGUUCAAGGCAUCAAAGGUUUCGAGGCUGAAUUUAAGAAGAGUGAAAAGGCCUUCCACCUGAGGAAACACUCAGCCCAUUGGAGCGACUCAGCCAAGUACUUCUGUGCUGUGAGUGACACAGCGCCUGGGACUACAGGGGGAGCUGAACACAAACCUUCUGAGACACUGUAACUUAAAGGACUCAGGGUCUCAGCCUGAGUUGUUUUCAGGAAGUUGACAUGUUCUGUAAAAGAACAUGUCCCCCUGCCUGUUUUUAUAUUAUUUUUGUUUCCCUUCCCUUAUGUUCAUCUGUUUUGUCUCUUAAAGUCCUCAUAUGAGUGAA
Herpailurus yagouaroundi (jaguarundi) is the source of this 707-nucleotide non-coding RNA. NCBI's taxonomy places the organism in Eukaryota, Metazoa, Chordata, Mammalia, Carnivora, Felidae. The record is from the annotation of a RefSeq genome assembly.